GUUAUAAGUAUAAAGUUUAUAAUGAUUUCUGCACAAUGAUUCCUCUUAAUUAUUUUUUUAUUAAUAUUAAAAAAUAUAAUUUUGAAUUAAAUUGAAAUCUUUUGGGUUUUAAAGUAGCAUAAUCAAUUGUUAUUUAAUUUGUAUCUUGUAUGAAUGGAUAUAAUCAAAAUUAAAAUUUUUUUUUUCUUAAGUUUUGUGAAAUUAAAAUUAUAGUGAGGAUGCUAUAUUGAAUUAUAAGACGAAAAGACCCUAUAAAGCUUGACUAAAAAAAUUGAUAGUUUCAUUUUUGAUAGUUUAUGUGGGGAAAAUAUUUUUUAUUAGUAAUAAAAAUUAUAAUUUUACUAUUUUUAUAUAAUCAUAUUAUUAUAGUAUAUUAUUAUUUUGUCAAAUGACAUUUUAUGUAUAAGAAAAAUUAUGUAAAAUUUUAAAAUAUAAAAGUUACUUUAGGGAUAACAGAUUAAUAUAUUUAUUUUAGUACUUAUAAUUAAAUAUGUUUGAUACCUCGAUGUUGAAUUAAGUUUACAAUUUUUAGGUAGUACUAAAAGUCUUUUGAAUUGUUCAUUCAUUAAUAACUU
RNAcentral lists this ribosomal RNA (575 nucleotides) under Vogtia pentacantha. Its description in RNAcentral is "partial 16S ribosomal RNA". Lineage: Eukaryota; Metazoa; Cnidaria; Hydrozoa; Siphonophorae; Hippopodiidae. The record is from RNAcentral.